AUUCUGGCUCAGGAUGAACGCUAGCUACAGGCUUAACACAUGCAAGUCGAGGGGCAGCAUGGUCUUAGCUUGCUAAGGCCGAUGGCGACCGGCGCACGGGUGAGUAACACGUAUCCAACCUGCCGUCUACUCUUGGACAGCCUUCUGAAAGGAAGAUUAAUACAAGAUGGCAUCAUGAGUCCGCAUGUUCACAUGAUUAAAGGUAUUCCGGUAGACGAUGGGGAUGCGUUCCAUUAGAUAGUAGGCGGGGUAACGGCCCACCUAGUCUUCGAUGGAUAGGGGUUCUGAGAGGAAGGUCCCCCACAUUGGAACUGAGACACGGUCCAAACUCCUACGGGAGGCAGCAGUGAGGAAUAUUGGUCAAUGGGCGAGAGCCUGAACCAGCCAAGUAGCGUGAAGGAUGACUGCCCUAUGGGUUGUAAACUUCUUUUAUAAAGGAAUAAAGUCGGGUAUGCAUACCCGUUUGCAUGUACUUUAUGAAUAAGGAUCGGCUAACUCCGUGCCAGCAGCCGCGGUAAUACGGAGGAUCCGAGCGUUAUCCGGAUUUAUUGGGUUUAAAGGGAGCGUAGAUGGAUGUUUAAGUCAGUUGUGAAAGUUUGCGGCUCAACCGUAAAAUUGCAGUUGAUACUGGAUAUCUUGAGUGCAGUUGAGGCAGGCGGAAUUCGUGGUGUAGCGGUGAAAUGCUUAGAUAUCACGAAGAACUCCGAUUGCGAAGGCAGCCUGCUAAGCUGCAACUGACAUUGAGGCUCGAAAGUGUGGGUAUCAAACAGGAUUAGAUACCCUGGUAGUCCACACGGUAAACGAUGAAUACUCGCUGUUUGCGAUAUACAGCAAGCGGCCAAGCGAAAGCGUUAAGUAUUCCACCUGGGGAGUACGCCGCCAGC
RNAcentral lists this ribosomal RNA (884 nucleotides) under uncultured Bacteroidota bacterium. RNAcentral describes it as "bacterial SSU rRNA". It matches the Rfam family "Bacterial small subunit ribosomal RNA", at positions 16 to 892 of the family's 1533-position model. Lineage: Bacteria; Pseudomonadati; Bacteroidota. The record is from RNAcentral.